Molecule: ribosomal RNA, 497 nt
Filed under: uncultured bacterium
Lineage: Bacteria
Description: partial 16S ribosomal RNA
Rfam family: Bacterial small subunit ribosomal RNA
Source: RNAcentral
GAUGAACGCUGGCGGCGUGCCUAAUACAUGCAAGUCGAGCGAACAGACGAGGAGCUUGCUCCUCUGACGUUAGCGGCGGACGGGUGAGUAACACGUGGAUAACCUACCUAUAAGACUGGGAUAACUUCGGGAAACCGGAGCUAGUACCGGAUAAUAUAUUGAACCGCAUGGUUCAAUAGUGAAAGACGGUUUUGCUGUCACUUAUAGAUGGAUCCGCGCCGCAUUAGCUAGUUGGUAAGGUAACGGCUUACCAAGGCAACGAUGCGUAGCCGACCUGAGAGGGUGAUCGGCCACACUGGAACUGAGACACGGUCCAGACUCCUACGGGAGGCAGCAGUAGGGAAUCUUCCGCAAUGGGCGAAAGCCUGACGGAGCAACGCCGCGUGAGUGAUGAAGGUCCUCGGAUCGUAAAACUCUGUUAUUAGGGAAGAACAAAUGUGUAAGUAACUAUGCACGUCUUGACGGUACCUAAUCAGAAAGCCACGGCUAACUACGUG